GGACUACCCGGGUAUCUAAUCCUGUUUGCUCCCCACGCUUUCGCGUCUCAGCGUCAGUAACGUCCCAGCGAGCUGCCUUCGCAAUUGGUGUUCCUCCUGAUAUCUGCGCAUUUCACCGCUACACCAGGAAUUCCACUCGCCUCUUCCGUACUCUAGCUCGACAGUAUCUACCGGCUUUCAAGGGUUGAGCCCUUGACUUUUACAGCAGACUUAUCGAACCGCCUACACGCUCUUUACGCCCAAUAAUUCCGGACAACGCUUGCCCCCUACGUAUUACCGCGGCUGCUGGCAC
Molecule: ribosomal RNA, 292 nt
Filed under: uncultured bacterium
Lineage: Bacteria
Description: partial 16S ribosomal RNA
Source: RNAcentral